RNAcentral lists this ribosomal RNA (466 nucleotides) under uncultured bacterium. RNAcentral's name for it is "partial 16S ribosomal RNA". It matches the Rfam family "Bacterial small subunit ribosomal RNA", at positions 28 to 507 of the family's 1533-position model. The record is from RNAcentral.
GACGAACGCUGGCGGCGCGCCUAACACAUGCAAGUCGAACGAGCGAGAGAGAGCUUGCUUUCUUGAGCGAGUGGCGAACGGGUGAGUAACGCGUGAGGAACCUGCCUCAAAGAGGGGGACAACAGUUGGAAACGACUGCUAAUACCGCAUAAGCCCACGGUGCCGCAUGGCACAGAGGGAAAAGGAGCAAUCCGCUUUGAGAUGGCCUCGCGUCCGAUUAGCUAGUUGGUGAGGUAACGGCCCACCAAGGCGACGAUCGGUAGCCGGACUGAGAGGUUGAACGGCCACAUUGGGACUGAGACACGGCCCAGACUCCUACGGGAGGCAGCAGUGGGGAAUAUUGCACAAUGGGGGAAACCCUGAUGCAGCGACGCCGCGUGGAGGAAGAAGGUCUUCGGAUUGUAAACUCCUGUUGUUGGGGAAGAUAAUGACGGUACCCAACAAGGAAGAGACGGCUAACUACGUG